CCUACGGGGGGCAGCAGUGGGGAAUUUUCGGCAAUGGGGGGAACCCUGACCGAGCGAUGCCGCGUGAAUGACGAAGUUCUUCGGAAUGUAAAAUUCUUUUGUGUGGGAAGAAAAAGCAAUUAUUGACGGUACCACAAGAAUAAGCCCCGGCUAACUAUGUGCCAGCAGCCGCGGUAAUACAUAGGGGGCAAGCGUUAUCCGGAUUUACUGGGCGUAAAGGGUGCGUAGGUUGUUAUUUAAGUUUCUGGUAUAAGCACAAUGCUUAACGUUGUGAGGCUGGGAAAACUAGAUAGCUAGAGUAAGACAGAGGCAAGUGGAAUUCCAUGUGUAGCGGUAAAAUGCGUAAAUAUAUGGAGGAACACCAGUGGCGAAGGCGGCUUGCUGGGUCUUGACUGACGCUGAUGCACGAAAGCGUGGGGAGCAAACAGGAUUAGAUACCCGUGUAGUC
RNAcentral lists this ribosomal RNA (448 nucleotides) under uncultured Acholeplasma sp. Its description in RNAcentral is "bacterial SSU rRNA". It matches the Rfam family "Bacterial small subunit ribosomal RNA", at positions 338 to 795 of the family's 1533-position model. Lineage: Bacteria; Bacillati; Mycoplasmatota; Mollicutes; Acholeplasmatales; Acholeplasmataceae. The record is from RNAcentral.